RNAcentral lists this unclassified non-coding RNA (342 nucleotides) under soil metagenome. RNAcentral describes it as "partial contains 5.8S ribosomal RNA, internal transcribed spacer 2, and large subunit ribosomal RNA". The stretch from base 1 to 120 matches the Rfam family "5.8S ribosomal RNA", at positions 35 to 154 of the family's 154-position model. The record is from RNAcentral.
GAUGAAGAACGUAGUGAAAUGCGAUACGUAAUGUGAAUUGCAGAAUUCAGUGAAUCAUCGAGUUUUUGAACGCAUAUUGCGCCCUCUGGUAUUCCGGGGGGCAUGCCUGUUCGAGCGUCAUUAAAUAACCCUCAAGCAUAGCUUGGUGUUGGGCUUUUUUACGUCCUUGACUGGGAUGGGCCUAAAAAUUAGUGGCGAUGGCUUUUUUACUUUCAAGCGUAGUAAAUCUCGUCUUGCUAAAGAGGAAAAAGAUUUUUUUUCUGCCAAAAAUUUUAACAUUUAAAGUUGACCUCGGAUCAGGUAGGAUUACCCGCUGAACUUAAGCAUAUCAUAAGCGGAGGA